RNAcentral lists this ribosomal RNA (498 nucleotides) under Triticum aestivum (bread wheat). RNAcentral describes it as "partial small subunit ribosomal RNA". The record is from RNAcentral. Lineage: Eukaryota; Viridiplantae; Streptophyta; Magnoliopsida; Poales; Poaceae.
AUGGAGACCCCUCUAUGUCCAUCAAAGCAGCUGUCGGAUGCACACCCCAUCAAACCAAAAGUAGAGCCUUGCGAGAACUCACUGUCACUAGCUCCAGAUGCUCGUGAAGAUUGUGAGACCACCCCACUCUCCUGCAACCACCACUUCUUCACCAUCAUCCUGUCGCGAACUCAUGUUCAGAAGCCGUUUCAGCUGUGCAUUCCAGGUCGCUUCCACAAGCACCUCCCGGAGGAGCGCACCUCCACCACUCUCAUCUGCCGUGGGAGGUCAUGGGCAAUGCACUACUGCGGCGACUUGAAGACGAAAAAGCUGGAUGCAGAUUGGAUGGACUUCGCUGUCGACAACCGGUUGCAGGUCAAUGAUGCGUGUGUCUUCGAGCUUGUGACUAACACCAGAGAGGAGGUGGUGUUCCAGGUCCAGAUACUACGCGGCGGCCUGCCGAAGGAUAUCACCUCUAAAGGGUACACAGCCGACGAGCCUCUGGUCAUUGUGGGUUAG